RNAcentral lists this ribosomal RNA (512 nucleotides) under Platycerus oregonensis. RNAcentral's name for it is "partial 16S ribosomal RNA". The stretch from base 127 to 326 matches the Rfam family "Archaeal large subunit ribosomal RNA", at positions 1797 to 2106 of the family's 2987-position model. Lineage: Eukaryota; Metazoa; Arthropoda; Insecta; Coleoptera; Lucanidae. The record is from RNAcentral.
UUAUAUUGUUUAUUUAGAUUUAUUUAUUUUUAGUUAAUUUAUUAAUAUAUUAUAUAUAAUAUAAAUAUAUAAGUAAUUAUGAUUAAAUUAGUAUAAAUUUUUGUAAAUUUAGUUAUGAGUUUUAGAUAAGAUUAAGGAAUUCGGCAAAUAUAUUUUCUGCCUGUUUAUUAAAAACAUGUCUUUUUGUAAUUAUUUAAAGUCGAGCCUGCCCUAUGAUUAUUUAAAUGGCCGCGGUAUUUUGACCGUGCAAAGGUAGCAUAAUAAUUAGUUUCUUAAUUAGAAGCUGGUAUGAAUGGUUUGACAAGAAAAUUUCUGUCUCAAUUUUAGUAUUAGAAUUUAACUUUUGAGUCAAAAGGCUUAAAUGAUUUUAAAAGACGAGAAGACCCUAUAGAAUUUAACACUUGAUUUACUUAGAAUUAUAUAGAUUAUUUAUUUUUAAGUAAAUCAAGUGUUUUAUUGGGGUGAUGGAAAAACUUAAAUAACUUUUUCUUAUUUUAUUCAUUAAUUUAUGU